Molecule: transfer RNA, 72 nt
Filed under: Muraenesox cinereus (daggertooth pike conger)
Lineage: Eukaryota; Metazoa; Chordata; Actinopteri; Anguilliformes; Muraenesocidae
Description: tRNA-Phe
Rfam family: tRNA
About the family: Transfer RNA (tRNA) molecules are approximately 80 nucleotides in length.
Source: RNAcentral
GUUGACGUAGCUUAAAGUUUUAUAGUGUGGCACUGAAGAUGCCAAGAUGGGCCCUGAAAAUCCCCGACAACA